GACGAACGCUGGCGGCGUGCUUAACACAUGCAAGUCGAACGGAAAGGCCCUGCUUUUGUGGGGUGCUCGAGUGGCGAACGGGUGAGUAACACGUGAGUAACCUGCCCUUGACUUUGGGAUAACUUCAGGAAACUGGGGCUAAUACCGGAUAGGAGCUCCUGCUGCAUGGUGGGGGUUGGAAAGGUUCGGCGGUUGGGGAUGGACUCGCGGCUUAUCAGCUUGUUGGUGGGGUAGUGGCUUACCAAGGCUUUGACGGGUAGCCGGCCUGAGAGGGUGACCGGCCAGAUUGGGACUGAGAUACGGCCCAGAGUCGUACGGGAGGCAGCAGUGGGGAAUAUUGCACAAUGGGCGGAAGCCUGAUGCAGCAACGCCGCGUGCGGGAUGACGGACUUCGGGGUGGAAACCGCUUUCGCCUGUGACGAAGCGUGAGUGACGGUAAUGGGUAAAGAAGCACCGGCUAACUACGUG
RNAcentral lists this ribosomal RNA (468 nucleotides) under uncultured bacterium. RNAcentral's name for it is "partial 16S ribosomal RNA". It matches the Rfam family "Bacterial small subunit ribosomal RNA", at positions 28 to 507 of the family's 1533-position model. The record is from RNAcentral.